GCCGGGCAUGGUGGCACAUGCCUGUAAUCCCAGUAGCUUGGGAGGCUGAGACAGGAGUAACGCAAGUUCAAAGGCAGCCUCAGCAAAAGCGAGGAGCUAAGCAACUCAGUGAGACCCUGUCUCUA
Molecule: small RNA, 125 nt
Filed under: Marmota monax (woodchuck)
Lineage: Eukaryota; Metazoa; Chordata; Mammalia; Rodentia; Sciuridae
Source: RNAcentral